RNAcentral lists this ribosomal RNA (305 nucleotides) under uncultured bacterium. RNAcentral describes it as "partial 16S ribosomal RNA". It matches the Rfam family "Bacterial small subunit ribosomal RNA", at positions 505 to 809 of the family's 1533-position model. The record is from RNAcentral.
ACAGCAGCAGCCGCGGGAAAACGUAGGUGGCAAGCGUUGUCCGGAAUUAUUGGGCGUAAAGGGCUCGCAGGCGGUUUCUUAAGUCUGAUGUGAAAGCCCCCGGCUCAACCGGGGAGGGUCAUUGGAAACUGGGAAACUUGAGUGCAGAAGAGGAGAGUGGAAUUCCACGUGUAGCGGUGAAAUGCGUAGAGAUGUGGAGGAACACCAGUGGCGAAGGCGACUCUCUGGUCUGUAACUGACGCUGAGGAGCGAAAGCGUGGGGAGCGAACAGGAUUAGAUACCCCGGUAGUCCCUGUCUCUUAUAA